This 347-nucleotide unclassified non-coding RNA is filed under the name Limnodrilus paraclaparedianus. RNAcentral describes it as "internal transcribed sapcer 2". The record is from RNAcentral. Lineage: Eukaryota; Metazoa; Annelida; Clitellata; Tubificida; Naididae.
GUUGAACGCAUCAAUCGUCGGUCGUCCGAAUCAUGCCGACGCAUUGGAUCGUCGAGGCGCGGGUGAACGAUACCCGCAAGGGGGUUCGAGCGGUGGGCGACCCUAGAGGGGCUGCGUCCGUCGUCUCGAGCUGCUCGCGCCUCGUCGUCCGAAGAACAGAAGGGACCGCGCGACCACGCCGGCCGCACGUCCGAAGUCCGCUGGCGGACGGGGACGGCGACUCGGAGAAACACCGGAUCGGCCGUCGCCCGCCGUGUGGCGGCUCGGUCGGCGUGGUAGCGAAGUGACCCAGCGCACACGAAGCUCUAUCGGCGGGCCGCCGCACACGCGGCGGCCUCCGCAGACUU